CAUAUAAUAGCUUAAGUUAAAGCAUUAAACUUUUAAUUUAGAGAUAAGAGAUUCUUUUAUAUGG
RNAcentral lists this transfer RNA (64 nucleotides) under Striatobalanus tenuis. RNAcentral describes it as "tRNA-Lys". It matches the Rfam family "tRNA". Rfam says of the family: Transfer RNA (tRNA) molecules are approximately 80 nucleotides in length. Their secondary structure includes four short double-helical elements and three loops (D, anti-codon, and T loops). Lineage: Eukaryota; Metazoa; Arthropoda; Thecostraca; Balanomorpha; Balanidae. The record is from RNAcentral.